RNAcentral lists this ribosomal RNA (497 nucleotides) under uncultured bacterium. Its description in RNAcentral is "partial 16S ribosomal RNA". It matches the Rfam family "Bacterial small subunit ribosomal RNA", at positions 28 to 507 of the family's 1533-position model. The record is from RNAcentral.
GAUGAACGCUGGCGGCGUGCCUAAUACAUGCAAGUCGAGCGAACGGACGAGAAGCUUGCUUCUCUGAUGUUAGCGGCGGACGGGUGAGUAACACGUGGAUAACCUACCUAUAAGACUGGGAUAACUUCGGGAAACCGGAGCUAAUACCGGAUAAUAUUUUGAACCACAUGGUUCAAAAGUGAAAGACGGUCUUGCUGUCACUUAUAGAUGGAUCCGCGCUGCAUUAGCUAGUUGGUAAGGUAACGGCUUACCAAGGCAACGAUGCAUAGCCGACCUGAGAGGGUGAUCGGCCACACUGGAGCUGAGACACGGUCCAGACUCCUACGGGAGGCAGCAGUAGGGAAUCUUCCGCAAUGGGCGAAAGCCUGACGGAGCAACGCCGCGUGAGUGAUGAAGGUCUUCGGAUCGUAAAACUCUGUUAUUAGGGAAGAACAUAUGUGUAAGUAACUGUGCACAUCUUGACGGUACCUAAUCAGAAAGCCACGGCUAACUACGUG